RNAcentral lists this ribosomal RNA (753 nucleotides) under uncultured bacterium. RNAcentral's name for it is "bacterial SSU rRNA". It matches the Rfam family "Bacterial small subunit ribosomal RNA", at positions 26 to 773 of the family's 1533-position model. The record is from RNAcentral.
CAUUGAACGCUGGCGGCAUGCCUUUACACAUGCAAGUCGAACGGCAGCACGGGAGCAAUCCUGGUGGCGAGUGGCGAACGGGUGAGUAAUGUAUCGGAACGUACCUUUCAGUGGGGGAUAACGUAGCGAAAGUUACGCUAAUACCGCAUAUUCUGUGAGCAGGAAAGCAGGGGAUCGCAAGACCUUGCGCUGAUUGAGCGGCCGAUAUCAGAUUAGCUAGUUGGUGAGGUAAAGGCUCACCAAGGCGACGAUCUGUAGCGGGUCUGAGAGGAUGAUCCGCCACACUGGAACUGAGACACGGUCCAGACUCCUACGGGAGGCAGCAGUGGGGAAUUUUGGACAAUGGGGGCAACCCUGAUCCAGCCAUGCCGCGUGAGUGAAGAAGGCCUUCGGGUUGUAAAGCUCUUUCAGCCGGGAAGAAAUCACAUGGGUUAAUACCCUGUGUGGAUGACGGUACCGGAAUAAGAAGCACCGGCUAACUACGUGCCAGCAGCCGCGGUAAUACGUAGGGUGCGAGCGUUAAUCGGAAUUACUGGGCGUAAAGCGUGCGCAGGCGGUUUGUUAAGAUAGGCGUGAAAUCCCCGGGCUCAACCUGGGAACUGCGUUUAUGACUGGCAGGCUAGAGUAUGGCAGAGGGGGGUGGAAUUCCACGUGUAGCAGUGAAAUGCGUAGAGAUGUGGAGGAACACCGAUGGCGAAGGCAGCCCCUCUGGGCCAAUACUGGCGCUCAUGCACGAAAGCGUGGGUAGCAAAC